CUAAAGUUUGUUUUGUAUUUGGUGAACUUCAGCAUUCUUAGAGCUUAAGUUCUAAACAACAAUAAACUUAAUAAAUCAUGAUCAGCAGCGAUUGAUGCUGUUCAUUUCAAAGAUUAAAGAAUGAAAAAUAUUUUCGACAUGAAAACAAGUUACUACAGAUAAAUUAGAACCAAAAACCAAUGUGCCUGUAAAGCUAAAAUAUCUAAGAGGUUAAAUUAUUGUGAAUAAGACCAAACUGAACAUAAUGGAACAAGCAGAUAUAUAUAAAUCAUCAGGUUAGAACGCAUAACAAUAUCUCAAGCUUCAGCAUUCAGAAAACGAAGGAGGAGAAUGGGAGGAGAAAGAGGACUGAAGUUGUUUAAACAGUGGGUACAAGUUAAAAACUUUUUUAAAAGGUGGGUAUAGGUUAAAUGGGGGCGACCAAAUAAGGCGUCCCGUGCAAUUUUUACGCUCAGAUCAGAACCCUUUAUAGGUUACUUUGGGUGAAAAUGGGCUUUCACUACUAAAAAAAUCAGGUUUUAGCGACGGACAAAUUCUGUAGCUAAACAGAAAAAUUCAUCGCUAAUCUCAUUUAACGACGGAUUAUCAAAAGAUUUUGCUAGCUACGAGCGUUUUAGCGAUAGAUUAGCGACGACGUUCGUAGCUAAUUCCAGUUUUUUUGUAGUGUUUGGAUUGAAGUCCAAAUCGCCUUUUAAAGCUUUUGCACAGUCAGGCCAUGUUAUGUAAAAAUUGCACGGGGCACCCUAUUUGGUCACCCCCAUUUGACCUAUACCCAUAUUUUUAAAAUUAUUUAACCUAUACCCUAAUUUUGACAACUUCAGAUCCUACGACAUAUGCGCUCCUUUCUUCCUCCUCUUCUUUUCCUCUUCUUCUUAUUUUCUCUCUCAAACGUGCUAUCAUGUAAGUUACACAUGUUAUCGUUUCUGGAAAUUGGACAAAGCGACAAAUCACGAAGAAAGAAAGACUCGCCACUCCCUCUCAAACAUUAAUACAUCUGAAUACAAAGUACGUAAAUAAUAAAACAAGAGUUUAUAUUCAAAACUCGAAGAAGCAUCAACUGAAGUUUGGGACUGCAGGGCCAAACUUCAAACAUUACCAGGUUAAAUUUCGUCUGAAGUUUGCAACUAUCAUGCCAGGAAAAAUUAUCUGAAGUUCAAAUAUAACAAGUUAAUUUUGUCUAAAGUUUGCAUUACAAAUUAGUAUGAAGUUUGCACUACAAACUAAAGAACUUCAGACUAAUUUAUCUGAAGUUUGCACUACAAACUGAAGAACUUCAGACUAAUUUGUCUGAAGUUUGCAUUAUGAAAUGAAGUUUUUUUGAUUGCUUUUGCAAAUUAGGCCAAACUUCAGAUGAAAGUAUCUGAAGUUUACUUUGAUAAGGUCAUACUUCAGGCAAAAAAAUUUGAAGUUCAAACUUCAGACAUAAAUCGUUGCUACUUAAAGCCCUGUAUGUCUGAAGUUACCCGAAAAGUAAGUAGGCUUGCAAUUUUUUUUCCAAACAGAUAUAAGUAAAAUUGUGACCUAAAAAUUGUAUAUAGAUGCAAAUCCCCCCAUGUUAUGAGCCUUUUAAAACUUCCGCACAAUCAGACCAAGUUAUGAGCCUUUAAAUGGGCUAACUUAUUGGUUGGCUUAUUGAUGUAUAGUUAGGCGCAUUUGUAUCUAUACUCAUUUUUUGGGUCACAUUUUAACUUGUGCCCGCUUUGCAAAAAAAAUUGUAAGUGUACCCACUUUUUCGCGUAACUUCAGCAUACGAGGCUGAAGUAGCAAAGAUAAUCACGAAAAACUUCAGUAUUCUAGUAGACGGGACUGAAGUAGCAAGUUUUUGUUUUUGUAACUGACGAACUUCAGCUCUAGAGCUGAAGUUUUUGUUUUGUAACUGGCAAACUUCAGCUCUAGAGCUGAAGUUUUUGUUUUGUAACUUGCGAACUUCAGUUCUAGAGCAGAAGUUUUUAUUUUUGUAACUGGCGAACUCUCUAGAGCUGAAGUUUUUAUUUUGUGGCAGGAACAACUUCAGCUCUGAAGUUGUUUCUGCCUAGAUAUAGCUUUUUCACACUGAUUAUUGGAUAAUUUUUUAGUAGUGUGUUCCUAAAUGGAAAGGCUUUUGGCUAUUAUCAUAAUGAUUCUUGCUCUCCUUAACAAAACUUGAAUAGCUAUAGUCUAAUACACCUUGCAUUUUACCUUUAUUUACUUUUCGGUUUGUGUCCCCCUUAACUUCUUGUAAAAUGUUAUCACAACGAUUAUUAUCCUCCUUCAACAAAGCUUGCAUAUUUUUACAUUUAUAAAAUUCAAUCAUCAAUAGGUCUUACAUCUUACCAUAAUGAUCAGCAGCAAGAAGAGAGGAGCAUCGCCAUCAGGAAAGUAAAUCUGUUGAAGGGAUUCCGGCAGAUUGAAGCUACUCGUCCCUUUGAAAAGUUGCAAGUUAGAGUCACCUUCUUCUCCAGCACACAAUCUGUGCAGUGUUUAAAGAGGUUGAGGGCGGAUAUAACUUUGAGGAGGAGAAGGAGGAGGAGAAAAGGGGCUAAAGUUGUUUAAAAAAUGAGUACAAGUUUAAACUUUUAAAAAAAAGUGGAUAUAAGUUAAAUGGGGGCGACCAAAUAGGGCACCCCGUGCAAUUUUUACGUGAAGGCAAGCAACUAUAGAUUCAAAAAUUAGACAUGUAAUUACACAAACUGACAAACUUAAUCAUAAUAACAACUGAGAACUUUAAAUUUGUUUCAAUGUAAAUUUAAGGGAAACUACCAGCUAUGUCCAUUUAUAAGUAACUCAUUACAAAAAUUGAUUAAUUCAUAAAAUAUUACUAAUAUUAGCCAAUUAACUAUUUGUAGCAAAAAAUAUCAAAUUUUUGCUUUCUUUUGAAUGAGUGCUAUUAGAAUAGAUUGUGUACAUCUUAAGGAGCUUGAAUCUCAGUUUUUAGAUGAUUUGGUGAAGUUUUGAGGUGAUUUGAAUUGAAAAUUCGAAGUAAAAACUGAAUAUGAAAAAAAAUGAUAUGUGUAUCACACUGUAUAUCAUUUAUGUAUCACACAUGUGUCAUAUUUGUAUCAAUUGUGUAUCACAUGUAUAUCCACGUAUACUUGUGUGUGAGAUACAUGCAUGAUACAUGUUUGAUACAUAUGUCGCAGAAGAAUUUUUUAAACUUGAUUUAACUACGAAUUUUGAUACAAAACCAGUCCAAAUUACCUCCAACCUUCCUCAAAUUUUGUUUAUUGACUUAUCCAUAUGUUUUCAAUGAAUUGCAACUAUACCCAUUGAAAAAGUUCCUUUUUUUGCUUAGAUUUUUGGAAUAUUAUAUUUUUUUUUUUUUGGUAUUUCAUCACCUUAUUCACUACCUCAUCCAUAAAAUUUCCUUUCCGUCUUGCAUCUAAUGUUGCUAAUCAUGCUUAAAAACAUGGAAGGUGAUUUUUGCAUGUGAUUCUUUGAGAGAAAGAACCUUAUUUAUUUAGUUUUUCAAUUUUUAUAUGUGUUUGGCUAGUUUUAGUAAGUUUAUGACUAAUGACUAGAGGUUAAUAAGUUGAGACUUAUUUGAAACAUUUGUGUAAGUUUCCCUAAAUUUAAUACUAUCAUAAUGACUAUCCUUAACAAAUACAGUCUCGAACGCUAGAAAAUUUUUUUAAAAAAACAUGCGUUUUGCUUUUAGAUUCAUCCAUCAUUGCUUGCAGAAAUGCAUGAUUAUUUUUAAACUCAAUUCAACAUUGCCUGGAAUUUUCAAUCAACAAAUUUGAGCUACUGGUGAUCAAAAUCAUGGAUUAAGCAUUUCUAAACUUCAAAAAAUACCUCGCAAGCCAUGAUCAGGUUAUUAUUCAACUGAAAAAACACUAAAGGAAUCCUAGGUCAAGUGACAAUAAAUUCAGUUCUAGUACAAGAGAUUCACACAAUUAGCUAUCAAUUUGAUUGAACUGUAAAUCAGCAAAUAUAAUUCUCCGUGUAACCAGCAAUUUCAAAUUAAGUGAUAGCUUAUACGAGCAGUUUAACAGCUGUGAUGAUCCGAUAGGUUAUUUAUAGUUUUAACCCUUUAUUCUCUCUUUUGAAACCUUGAAUAGCUACGUUUAGCCUUUCUCGAUUGUCACACCUCUUUUUUACCAAACUUCACUAUACCCUCUUAAAUAAAUAAAUAAAUAAAAUUUAGCAAAGCUCGAAAGGGUUUUUCAAUCUUGAAAGUGACAAAGGAUAGUGUUCAAAAGGAAAUAACUCAGAAUCGCCACCUAGCAUUAUUUUUUUGGUGUGCCAGGUCACCAUUUUUUAGAAAAUAUUUUUCCUUUUAAAAACACUUGGACUCAAAACUAAGUCUGCACCAGAGAUUCGGGUAAGGGGGUUCAUUUGACUCGGGGAGAAGGUGUUAAGCACCCCCCAGGUCCCGUGAAGGUCACGGUUGCGCACUCGAUCUAGUUGGCUUUUAGAAUAUUCAAGUUGGUGUAAAAAUAACACAGAAAAGAAAAAAAAAUAAACACACAAAAGGCUCGAGGUCGUCCCUACCUAAUAAAAGAAAAUGAAAAGGAAAAGGAAAGAAAAGUCCUAAGCUAACCUAUACUACGACUUCUCCACCAUGCUCAUCAAGGCCUCCAAAAUAUUUACAUAGUUCUUCACGGUAUACCCCGGAUAAUAAUAUUUACAAACUUCAUGGGGCAUUCCCCGGAUAAAUUUAAUUAAGGAACAACCUCUCACCUUAAAACUAACAAAUAUUCUAAGGCUUGCCUACCCAAAUGUGGUCAGCCUAAGCAUGCUCCUAGCGAGUACUAACAUCGAUAAAGAAGAUAAAAGGAACUAUAAAAGAACUAAGUAAAGGAACACAUCAACUCAUGCCCAUGUCUUGUUUUUUAACUUUUAUUUUUAUUAGACCGGGCCCGACGCCAAAAGCAUGGAGACAAAUCAAUUGCUAAUGGGCAUCGGUCUUUUCCCACUCCCCCGCGACCCAACAAUCAUACAAAAUGCCAAUCAAGUAAGGGAGAACGAAUUCCAAAUCACACAAGGAAAAGAGCAUAUGGAAUGACAACGAAAUAAAGGCAUGGUGGAUUAAAAUAUUAUAAGGGACAUAUAAAUCUAGCCAACCCGCCUCACUUUUUCACUUUUCUGUAUGUUGUUAUAUCACAACAUGAAUGAGCAGUGGCUUAAACAUUCAAGUUGGUCACCUUAGAGUUAGAAAACAAAGACAUCCUUAACCAAAUAGUAACGACAGAUGUUGCAGGAAUACUAAGUGAUGCUCACACCAAACAAUAUGUCAUUUUCAUAAUUAACUUAACAUUUUCGAACCAAGCAGGGUGCAAACCAAUCUUAGAAGCCUUUAACAAAAAUGUCUUGAACCUAACCAUGUGGAUAUUGUGAGAUUAACAGAAGCAUACAAGCCAAAAAAACAUGUCAAUUCGGUCACUGUUAGUUCAAACUUCCAUGCUUAACUUCACAAGGAUUAACGUUUUCCUUUAUCACUUAAGCGCAGGGAGAUCAAGGCACACAAACAGAACAUCAAUUUCAGUUCUUAAUGUGCAAUCAAGUUAGCAAAUGCCAUAACUCCCAUUCAGAUGUAACAAUCAGUCAAGCCCAAAACUAUCAUAAAUUCGAUCUGUUUACCCGUAACGAAGUAGUUCAAAAACUCAAUUGAAGAUCAGAUUUGAAAAUGUGGAAAAGAUAGCGAUGAGAACACAUAUUAAACUCAUGCACAAGCUGAACAAUCCACCAGAAAGCAAUUAAAUCAAAAACAACCAGCCACAAUCACUACGAAUCCAUAUUAAUAAUUUCUGAGGAUCGAUUCAAAAUAAGAAAGUCAAGGCGAAUAGGGAAUGAACCUGUUGGGGCGAAUUUUUCUUAAAUAACAGCAGGAGAUUCAGUGAUAAUUCAACUUCAAUUUCCAGAAUUCAAACGAGAUACAACUUCAAAAUUGGAAAGAAACCUCGAACAAGAACUCGAAACGGCACUGGAAUUUCGAAUCCGAACACGAACUCCAACUCGUACUUCAAUCCAUUUGUAUGUUGUAGUCGAGAUUGAAAUCGAGGGAAGCAGCAGAAAUUUUCUUUUUUUCUUUUCUUAAUAUGUAUGAAAACGAAAACGGAAAUCCAAAGAAGAAUCUGGAAGUCCCAAAAUUAAACCCUAGAACCCUUUCCUUCCGAUUUUUCUCUAAAUUUUUCCCCUAUCUUUUCUGUUCACCCCCCAAAAUCUGAGAAACCACCCCAAUAUAUAGGGGGUCUCGAACCAUCUAUGCUUCCUCGCCAAGAAAUCGAUUUUUAUCUCCAAAUCCGAAAAAAGAACUCCAAAAUUCCGAAAAUCUCCUUAUUUUCGGUAAAAAUCUGGGCAGAUGGAGGGUAUGAUUAAUUUUCAUUAAUCAUAUCCUACCCUUCGUCCAUCAUCUACUGUUGAAAGAGAUUCACAUGUUAGAAAACAUAUCAAAAACGCGGAUAAGAAAGAGUAAGGGAAUAUUCGAACCAAAAUCGGUUAUUUGUCAGGCCACAUGGAAGAAAGAGAGAAGGGAAAGGGGGACAAUGAAUUAACUCGCUAGAAUCAGUGAGUGUUCCGGCGAGUUUUGGGCGAGCGGAAGGUGGCAGAGAUGAGGGGCGCCGUUUUAGGUUGAUCUCUUUAGGAUUAGGGUUUGGGAAAUAUGGCUUUUAUAUGGUAAAGAAGAUAGAUAUGGACCAUUGGUUUUAUGAGAUGAAUGGCUAAGAUUUAGAGGGGGAAAUGGGGCGGGUAGAUGGGUCGUUUGGGCGGAUCCAAUAAUUAGAAACUUGAACUUUUCUUUUUUAGAAAUUAAUUCUAAUUAAUUAAAGAAAAAUAUAUCAUAAUAUAAAACUAUAUUUUUUAUAUAUCUUUUUUUAUAUAAAUUAUUAUAUUCAAAAAUAAAAGUGAAAAUUAUGGCAAAAACAAAAGUAUAUUUUGCUAUAAAAAUAUUAAUAACCUAAACUAAAUAGAAAUAAGAUAAAAUAUGAAACUAUUUUUUGUAUUUUUUUUCAAUGAUUAUAUUAAAAUAAAAGUAGGUUAAAAAAUAAUAUAUCUUUCCAAAAUACCUAAUAUUGAAUUAAAUAGAAAAGUGAAACUACUUCUUUUUUUAUAUUUUUCCCUUUUUUUGUGCCUUGAAAUAGAAUUAAAUUUAAAAAUAGAGUGAACUAAUAUAGGAACAAGCUCAAGUAAUAUUCAAAAAAUACUAGGACUAUUAAGGGUAAUUAUAAUGCACGGAUCAAAAAUUACAUGUCUACAGCUGCCCCUCUUUGACGGAAAACACAAAAUGUUUUCAGACAAAGAACAAUAAGACGUGUUUUUUAUCCGAUCCUUAUUUAGAGAGACAAAAACUAAAAGAAAAGAGAAUGUGACUGAGCCCUGGUAUCUGAGCUGCCUACAUAUCCUUGGUUAUAAAGGAAUCAUGCCACGUGUAUUUCACAAGUGAGAAGGAUGAUGGAGUACCGAGGUGGAGAGUCGAGUGAAGUGCCGUCGAGGUUCCGUUCCGCGGUUCCUGCCGUCGAAAUACAAGAUCCUAUCUACUUCUUGUCUUGAAUCUCUAUUUGAUCUUCAACAUGAGACUGAAAAGUGGACCCUAUUCUUUAGGCGGACUCCUGAUGCUUCUUGAACUUGCGAAUUGAAAGUAACUCUGAAAUGAAUUCACUUGUUCUCUAGGUGGGUGCCUGAUUGCCAAAACUUGACUUGAGAUGACUUCCAUCAUUCUCCAGGUGGGCGCCUGUUGCUUACUUGAAAAUCACAAUAAUUUUGAAAUGGAUUCUCUCGUUCUCCAGGUGGGCGCCUGCCGUUAAAGCUUGAAACUUGAUAUGGAUUCUCUCAUUCUCCAGGUGGGCGCCUGCGACCGACUUGAAACUUGAAAUGAAUUGUCUCAUUCUCCAGGUGGGUGCCUGCCAACGACUUGAACUCGAAAUAAAUUCCCUCAUUCUCCAGGUGUGCGCCUACCAUUGACUUAAAACUUGAAAUGACUUCCCUCGUUCUCCAGGUGGGCGCCUGAUUGCCAAAAACUUGAAUUGUAUUCUCUUGUUAUCCAGGUGGGUGCCUGAUUACCAAAAACUUGAAUUGUAUUCCCUCGUUAUAGAUGGGUGCCUGAUUACCAAAAACUUGAAUUGUGUUCCCUUGUUAUCCAGGUGGGCGCCUGAUUGCCAAAAACUUGAAUUGUGUUCCCUCGUUAUCCAGGUGGGUGCCUGAUUACCAACAACUUGAAUUAUAUUCCCUCAUUAUCCAUAUGGGUGCCUGAUUACCAAAAACUUGAAUUGUAUUUCCUUAUUAUCCAGUGGGCGCCUGAUUGCCAGAAACUUGAAUUGUGUUCCCUCGUUAUCCAGAUGGGUGCCUGAUUACCAACAACUUGAAUUGUAUUCCCUCGUUAUCCAGGUGGGUGCCUGAUUACCAACAACUUGAAUUGUAUUCCCUCGUUAUCCAGUUGGGCGCCUGAUUUCCAAAACUUGAAUUGUAUUCCCUCGUUAUCCAGGUGGGCGCCUGACAUUACAACAAAAUAGAAAAACAAAAGAAAUUUUUCUGCCCCAGUUUGG
RNAcentral lists this long non-coding RNA (8459 nucleotides) under Nicotiana tabacum (common tobacco). Its description in RNAcentral is "long non-coding RNA (NTAB_LNC003233)". The record is from RNAcentral. Lineage: Eukaryota; Viridiplantae; Streptophyta; Magnoliopsida; Solanales; Solanaceae.